CGACGAGGCAGCAAUGCCGAGUGGCGGACGGGUGAGCAACGCGUAGGAAUCUGCCCACGGGUGGGGGACAACCCGGCGAAAGCCGGGCUAAUACCGCAUAAGUUCUAAGGAAGAAAGCGGGGGACCUUCGGGCCUCGCGCCGGUGGAGGAGCCUGCGUGGGAUUAGCUAGUUGGCGGGGUAAGGGCCCACCAAGGCGACGAUCCCUAGCCGGCCUGAGAGGGUGGCCGGCCACACCGGGACUGAGACACGGCCCGGACUCCUACGGGAGGCAGCAGUGGGGAAUAUUGGACAAUGGGCGCAAGCCUGAUCCAGCAAUGCCGCGUGUGUGAAGAAGGCCUGCGGGUUGUAAAGCACUUUGAGCGGGAAAGAAGGCUUCAAAGCGAAUACCUUUGGAGAUUGACGUUACCCGCAGAACAAGCACCGGCUAACUCCGUGCCAGCAGCCGCGGUAAUACGGAGGGUGCGAGCGUUAAUCGGAAUUACUGGGCGUAAAGCGCGCGUAGGCGGCCUUCCAAGUCCGACGUGAAAUCCCCGGGCUUAACCUGGGAACUGCAUUUGUGACUGCAAGGCUAGAGUAUGGCAGAGGGGGGUAGAAUUCCACGUGUAGCAGUGAAAUGCGUAGAUAUGUGGAGGAAUACCGAUGGCGAAGGCAGCCCCCUGGGUCAAUACUGACGCUCAUGCACGAAAGCGUGGGGAGCAAACAGGAUUAGAUACCCUGGUAGUCCACGCCCUAAA
RNAcentral lists this ribosomal RNA (735 nucleotides) under uncultured bacterium. Its description in RNAcentral is "bacterial SSU rRNA". It matches the Rfam family "Bacterial small subunit ribosomal RNA", at positions 64 to 806 of the family's 1533-position model. The record is from RNAcentral.